CAGAGGGGGCAAGCGUUAUUCGGAAUUAUUGGGCGUAAAGGGCGCGUAGGCGGCUUGGCAAGUGGAAGGUGAAAUCCCUCGGCUUAACAGAGGAACUGCCCUCCAAACUGCUUUGCUUGAGGCCGGGAGAGGUGAGUGGAAUUCCCAGUGUAGCGGUGAAAUGCGUAGAUAUUGGGAGGAACACCAGUGGCGAAGGCGGCUCACUGGACCGGUUCUGACGCUGAUGCGCGAAAGCGUGGGGAGCAAACGGGAUUAGAUACCCCGGUAGUCCACGCCGUAAACGAUGAGUGCUUGGUGUAGCGGGUAUCGACCCCUGCUGUGCCGAAGUCAACACAUUAAGCACUCCGCCUGGGGAGUACGGUCGCAAGGCUG
Molecule: ribosomal RNA, 372 nt
Filed under: uncultured organism
Description: bacterial SSU rRNA
Rfam family: Bacterial small subunit ribosomal RNA
Source: RNAcentral